GGUUUUUUCAUCAACACAAUAAUGAAUAUUUAGGGAAUAUCAACCCCAGAUUUUUGUCCAUCUUAAAUAUGUUUCUUUCUUUGUUUAGCUGUUUAGCUUGGUUUAGGGUUAGGGUUAUUUGCUAGCUGUUUCAUUUGGUUUAUUCACUGAGGAGCAAUUGUAGGUUUAAUUUGUGUUCCGUUUCAAACCUUCUGCCAGUUUUGUAUUUUCUCAUAUAAACUGAUACAAAACGGAUAUGUGUAUUCACAGGCACUCGUCUUAUACCUUUAUAUAAUAAAUUCUGAGACCAGUGCCUGUGUGUGUAUUCAUUAAUUAACCGUAUAAUGAAAAAAAAAAUAGUAUAUAAACUCUAAUUAUACUUGAAUGUUUUUGUUUUAUUCCAAUUUUCAUCAAUCUGGGUUUAGUUGUCUUUUAUUAGUACUUUUGGUUUGGCCUUUCACUUUUUCCAACUGAUUUCGUUUUUGAGGAAACCCCGUUUUUAUCAGCAAUGUUCUCGUUAAGAUACGCACACACGCCCGUGUGUUCGAUGGACGCUUCCUAAAACACUGAGUCUUGUUAUCAUCAUAACUUUCCCUCAGCUUUUCAAAAGAAGCAGAAAGCAUGCUUCUAUUCAAUAUUUUUACCGGACAUUCACUUUCGUUUUAAUUCAAUGUACAAAAUGUAUGUUAUGAUAAAUUCAGAGCAAUGCGAAAAAAAUUUGACUACAUGACACACGCUAAUUGGAUAAACGCCGAGAAGAUCAAAAUGUUUUCAAAAACACGUGUACCUAUUGAGCAACGGAAAACUCUAACAGGGACCCAUUUCAGUUACUUGAUGCAGGGAUCUAUUUUUAGAACGAACGGAAAUUUCCAAUUAUAAAUAUUAAAAAAAUAGUUUACGCGACGACUGUAAACAGAUAAGGG
RNAcentral lists this long non-coding RNA (902 nucleotides) under Mytilus galloprovincialis (Mediterranean mussel). The record is from RNAcentral. Lineage: Eukaryota; Metazoa; Mollusca; Bivalvia; Mytilida; Mytilidae.